Molecule: small nuclear RNA, 164 nt
Organism: Homo sapiens (human)
Lineage: Eukaryota; Metazoa; Chordata; Mammalia; Primates; Hominidae
Source: Ensembl
AAACUUCUCUGCCAGGGGAGAUACCAUGAUCACAAAGGUGGCUUUCUCAGGGAAAGGCUGAUUUAUUGCACUCCAGAUGUGCUGACCCCUGAGAUUUCUCCAAAUGUGGGAAACUCAGCUGCAUAAUUUGUGGAAGCGAAGGACUGUGUUUGUGCUUUCAUGUG